CACGUAGGAUCCGAGCGUUAUCCGAAUUUACUGGGCGUAAAGCGCGUGCAGGCUGUUUGGAAAGUUGGAUGUGAAAGCUCCUGGCUCAACUAGGAGAGGCCGUUCAAAACUACCAGACUUGAGGACAGUAGAGGGAGAUGGAAUUUCCGGUGUAGUAGUGAAAUGCGUAGAUAUCGGAAGGAACACCAGUGGCGAAGGCGGUCUCCUAGACUGUUUCUGACGCUAAGAUGCGAAAGCUAGGGUAGCGAAUGGG
Molecule: ribosomal RNA, 253 nt
Filed under: uncultured bacterium
Lineage: Bacteria
Description: partial 16S ribosomal RNA
Rfam family: Bacterial small subunit ribosomal RNA
Source: RNAcentral